RNAcentral lists this transfer RNA (73 nucleotides) under Flavobacteriales bacterium. Its description in RNAcentral is "tRNA-Cys". The record is from RNAcentral. Lineage: Bacteria; Pseudomonadati; Bacteroidota; Flavobacteriia; Flavobacteriales.
CGGUAGCACAGCCCGGUAGUGCAUCCCGCGCAAUUGGGCGGGAGGGUCGCUGGUUCGAGUCCAGUCACCCCGA